Non-coding RNA from Phoenix dactylifera (date palm), 1058 nucleotides. Lineage: Eukaryota; Viridiplantae; Streptophyta; Magnoliopsida; Arecales; Arecaceae. The record is from RefSeq and is a predicted model, not a curated record.
ACCCAAACGGUUUUAUUAAUAUGAUGCUUCUGUAUAGAUGAGCGGUACGGACCUUGGAUAUGUUGGAUAGAUGAUUCAAAUAUUUUGUUCUUUCUUUGAAUCUCAGUUGGGUUUGCAUUGGGUUUAUUUUGGAAGAGUAAAAAACAUACUUCAGAGUCGGUGGGUUACUUUGCUUUGUAAUUCUCUUAAACAGAGUCCAUACCUUGAUAAAUUUUGCAAAAUUAUUAUGUGUUGGUCUUUUUGUUUGUAAUUUUGUUACUUGGGUGACCAUGAUUCAAAUUGCUUUCCAUAUUUAUCAAACUUUACUUUUAAAAAAUAGCAAUUCCUUUUUUAAAAAAAUAAAGAAAAUGCAGAACUCUAAUAGAUUUAUUAGGUUUUAUUCAUGAGUUUGUAUUUCAAUUUCAUCGGGCAAAUCAUCAAGUUGAGGCUUUUAAUAUUUAACUGUAUUUUUCUGCAUUCAGAGUUAAUCCAAAACCGUAUUAUUCAAUCAAAGAUGAGCCACUUGGUGGCUUGAAGUCCAUUAGCUAAUAGAGGCUACUUCAGUGCACUUUGUUUGACUAUGGCUAGAAUUCUCUGUAUGUUGCAGCAUGCAGCUGGAGUUUCACAGUUUUUUUCCCCAGUAAACUACUAGAGUUUCACAUUUCAGUUUGGAAAAAGGUCUCUAUAACAUGAUAAUAGUAAUUUUGCUUGGAUUUGUUACUCAAGGAAUAGAGGCUUAAGGACUUCCUCAUUGUCUGUGUCGAGAAUUGUCCAGCAUCGAAAUCAGAGAUGUAUCAUCAUGCUUGCACUCACGCUCACGGAGGUAGAUUUUCUCACAGUGCCCUGACUUCUGCAAGUAUGUCUGCCUGGUGAGGAUGAAAACCACCUGAAUGAAGCAGCAUGCUAAUCAGAUAUGUGGGUCACAAAAGAUUCGUAGCUUAUGCUCCUCAUGGUAUCCUAUCAAAGAUCCCUUUAAUAUCAUGUUGCUAAAGAAGUCUAAUCUGGACAUAUUUGUUAUCAGUUAUGGAAAUCGAAAGAAAAAAAAAAUCAUGCUAAUAAUUAUAUAUUUGUUAAUUCAA